Molecule: transfer RNA, 57 nt
Filed under: Cecidomyiidae sp. 3 LC-2017
Lineage: Eukaryota; Metazoa; Arthropoda; Insecta; Diptera; Cecidomyiidae
Description: tRNA-Tyr
Source: RNAcentral
AAUAUUAUGACUGAUAAAAGUAAUAAAUUGUAAAUUUAUAAAUUUUAAAUAAUAAUU